GCAAUAACGCAGUGGCAGUAUCGUAGUCAAUGAGGUUAAUCCGAGGCGCGAUUAUUGCUAGUUGAAAACUUUGCCUAUUAUCA
RNAcentral lists this small nuclear RNA (83 nucleotides) under Alligator mississippiensis (American alligator). RNAcentral describes it as "U4 spliceosomal RNA". It matches the Rfam family "U4 spliceosomal RNA", at positions 1 to 82 of the family's 138-position model. Rfam says of the family: U4 small nuclear RNA (U4 snRNA) is a component of the major U2-dependent spliceosome. The structure of U4 snRNA from yeast and human has been reported. U4 snRNA presents a k-turn RNA motif in the 5p-SL related to recognition of Snu13 protein. Lineage: Eukaryota; Metazoa; Chordata; Crocodylia; Alligatoridae. The record is from Rfam by way of RNAcentral.